Molecule: ribosomal RNA, 376 nt
Filed under: uncultured bacterium
Lineage: Bacteria
Description: bacterial SSU rRNA
Rfam family: Bacterial small subunit ribosomal RNA
Source: RNAcentral
UACGUAGGGGGCAAGCGUUGUCCGGAAUUAUUGGGCGUAAAGCGCGUGUAGGCGGCUCAGCAAGUCCGCUCUGAAAGCCCAGGGCUCAACCCUGGGAUGCGGGUGGAUACUGCUGAGCUCGAGUCCGGAAGAGGCGAGUGGAAUUCCUGGUGUAGCGGUGAAAUGCGCAGAUAUCAGGAGGAACACCAAUGGCGAAGGCAGCUCGCUGGGACGUGACUGACGCUGAGACGCGAAAGCGUGGGGAGCAAACAGGAUUAGAUACCCUGGUAGUCCACGCCGUAAACGAUGGGCACUAGGUGUAGGGGGUGUCGACUCCCCCUGUGCCGAAGCUAACGCAUUAAGUGCCCCGCCUGGGGAGUACGGCCGCAAGGCUAAA